This 253-nucleotide ribosomal RNA is filed under the name uncultured bacterium. RNAcentral describes it as "partial 16S ribosomal RNA". It matches the Rfam family "Bacterial small subunit ribosomal RNA", at positions 524 to 776 of the family's 1533-position model. The record is from RNAcentral.
UACGGGGGGGGCAAGCGUUGUUCGGAAUUACUGGGCGUAAAGGGCUCGUAGGUGGCCAACUAAGUCAGACGUGAAAUCCCUCAGCUUAACUGGGGAACUGCGUCUGAUACUGGAUGGCUUGAAUCCGGGAGAGGGAUGUGGAAUUCCAGGUGUAGCGGUGAAAUGCGCAGAUAUCAGGAGGAACACCAAUUGCGAAGGCAGCUCGCUGGGACGUUACUGACGCUGAGACGCGAAAGCGUGGGGAGCAAACAGG